RNAcentral lists this small nuclear RNA (108 nucleotides) under Nannospalax galili (Upper Galilee mountains blind mole rat). The record is from RNAcentral. Lineage: Eukaryota; Metazoa; Chordata; Mammalia; Rodentia; Spalacidae.
GUGCUCACUUCAGCAGCACAUAUACUAAAAGUGGAGCGAUACAGAGACGAUUAGCAUGGCCCCUGCACAAGGAUGGACACAGAAAUUGGUGAAGCCUUCCAUAUUUUU